GGUGUAUUCCAUAUUUUAAGGGGUAGUGGAUCAACAACAUAAUUAGAAGACCUGUGCUUUUUAUCUUACAUGAUUAUGCGCAAGUAGAAGAACCAUUCAAACAAGUUAGCAGACAAAACUUCUUUCUCUCUCCCUUGCGCGACCGAAACCGAAAACAGAGCAAAGGUUCUCCGGUCUCUCUCUCCCUCCACCGGCCACCAAUCAAGACCAGACCACAUUCCACAUCUUCGUCUCUUCCUUGCUCAGCUUCCAGUGGCAGCCUUACGCCCUGGAACAGUCGGCAGCGGCAGCGGAGUGCCGGUUUGUUUAAAACCCCGUUUUGGUUCCAAUCGAGAUAUCUCACGCUAUAGGACAUCAAUCCUUGUGAUUCUUGUCUCAUUGGACUCGCCUAGACUUUCUGAUCAAGCACCAGGAAGGAUCGAACCUGGAUAGAUCGAAUUCACGUUCGUCGGAGCUCGACCGGUUUUCGAUCGAAAAACCAAACCUUUCGAUCAAGAUAUCUCGAGCUGUAGAGCUUCGUUUUGAGUAAUUCUUGAACCAGUGAGUUUGACUUGAUGUUCUUAACAACUAUCCAGAAGGAAUCGAGGGCUGAAAUUGAAGUUUUUACGUCGGAAUUCAAGCUCGCCGGAUUCUGGAAAUUUUCCGGCCACCGAAGCUUUCGAUCAAGAUAUCUCGAGCUGUAGAGCUUCGUUUUGAAUGAUACUUGAAACAUUGAGUUCGGCUUGAUGUUAUUAACAACUCUAUAGAAGGAAUAGAGGCCUGAAAUUGAAGUUUUUACGUCGAAAUCAAGCUCGCCGUUUUCUGCAAUUUUCGCCGGUUUCUGGAAGUUUUCCGGCCAAGUCAACUGUUCUAGGUGAUUGACGGUCUUCCUUGGUGAGCGGUUUUGGUGUGUAUUGUGAAAUUGAAGACGCAGCGGGAUUAGAGCGGGUAAUCCUACAGGUCAGGAGAAUCGAGAAGGUGAUCAGGCUGCUUAGAGCAGUGGUAUUGGAGUUACAGCUUUAUUGUGAGGUUGUUAUGCUCUUUGAGCUUACAUUUAAAUUUGGAGAGAGUGUGUUGUAAUAUUAAAUAACUUGAGGAUUUGGUUUAUUGUUUUAUUGAGAGGUGUGAAGUGUGGUUGUUUGUGAGAAAAAAAUUCAGGACGUUUAUUUGUAAUUGUUAUUAUUCAUGUUUCGGAUUUGAAUUGGUUAUUCAAAUUCGGGGCGUGACAUGCAGCCACCACCAGCUCAGCUUCGGCCAUCGGCGACCACCGUCUGACCACCAUUUUUCCGGCGACCUCCUGUAAAGUUUUCCUGCCAUCUACAGUAACUUUUUCCUGUCAAAAUUUCCGGCCAAUUUUCAAGGAUGAGUAACCUGAACAAGUUGUGCUUGGCUCCACUAGAGACAACAGGCGCAAGAUACCAC
Molecule: long non-coding RNA, 1401 nt
Organism: Rosa chinensis
Lineage: Eukaryota; Viridiplantae; Streptophyta; Magnoliopsida; Rosales; Rosaceae
Exons: 4
Source: RefSeq, a predicted model, not a curated record